This 1068-nucleotide long non-coding RNA is filed under the name Canis lupus familiaris (dog). Its description in RNAcentral is "lncRNA (ENSCAFG00000053895.1)". The record is from RNAcentral. Lineage: Eukaryota; Metazoa; Chordata; Mammalia; Carnivora; Canidae.
GGCGUCGCAGCGACCCCUGGGGCCCGGAGACGGGCCCGACCCGGCGGUGAGGCGGCCGGAGGACGCUUCGCUCGGCCCUGGGCGCCCCGCGGGCCUCGAGCCUCUGACGGAGGCCCCAGGGCCGCCGCCUCCCGGGAGCCUGGGCCGCGCGGUGCGCAGCGCCCCCUGCCGGGCGCCCCCUCACGCAGCGCGGGCCCGCGGCGGCGGCAGGAGCAGCAACGCCCGGUCGGUGGCCCCCGCCCUCGAGGGCACUCGCGACCCCCUCUUCCCUGCAGAGCGCGCGGUGUCCAGAGGUCGCGGCCCGGCUCCCCCGAGGAAUCGCUCAGAACCUGCCCACGUCGCGGGAGGACAGCAAACGAAGGCGUUUUCCCCGCUUUCGAAAGACUUCGCCCCCACGGAAGCAAAGCCUCGCCGUCCGUCCGUGGGCGGCGGGGUGGAGGCCGCGACCCGGGGCCGAGAAAUCCAAGAAACGGGAACUCCCACCUCGGAAAACUCCGGCGGACCUGGGAACCUGGCGCGUGGGCCCCCGUCGCCUGCUCCUUGGCUCUUCGGAGCCGGGCGCGCGCGUGGCACAAUUAUGAGGUGACUUUCCCUCCCUCGGAGGUCCGCGACCUGAAGCCGUGGGCACUUGUGGCGGCAGGAGGCCUGCAAGACCUGAGCAGAGGCGCUCCCGGGGAAGGCUGCCCCCUCGCCGUGUGGAAGCGAUUGCGGACAGCCCUGGGGAUCCAGUGACCCACAGACCGAGCCUCCGGGACUUUCCAGGCGGCCGCAGAAUCCAGGCAGCAGCGUGGUGAGGCCCUACUAUGCCGGGCGGCAGGCUAAGUGCCUCUUCUUUCCUCAUCUGGUGCCCACUAGGGCCCUAGAAGAGCCGGCACUCUGCUUAGCCCUGCUUUACACAAGUGGAAACUGAGGCCCAGAGAGUUUAAGCGGCCUGAGGUAUGAGGACAGGACCCAAACCCAAGUCUCUGUGGCCCAGAGAGGGCGCUCCUGAUGCUCGCUGCUUCCCAGCUGGUAGCUACGCCUUGCUAGGCCGUGAACUAUAGUAUAUUUUACUUGUUAUUUCAAGGC